CCUGCUUUUGUUCAGGUUUUGAACUGAUCAGAGCAGAACCCGUGGAGCUGCAGGGCUCCAGGUGAACAUGAUGAGGGUAAUUAGAGCAGCUGAGGCGCUGAUAUAAAGUCAGCUGCAGCCACAGAGCAGUUACAGCCCAAAGCUUUUCUCUUUCAGUACUCAGCCUGGUCCAGUUCUGCUGCCAUCCCAGACGUCAACAUGGUUCUUCAGGGUGUUUUCAAGAGCUCCUGGAUUUGCUUGCUGCUCUUCAGCAUUGCAGCUUGUGCUCCUGCAAAAAAA
Fundulus heteroclitus (mummichog) is the source of this 279-nucleotide long non-coding RNA. RefSeq lists it as uncharacterized. Lineage: Eukaryota; Metazoa; Chordata; Actinopteri; Cyprinodontiformes; Fundulidae. The record is from RefSeq and is a predicted model, not a curated record. The transcript is spliced from 3 exons.